This 240-nucleotide ribosomal RNA is filed under the name uncultured Kofleriaceae bacterium. Its description in RNAcentral is "partial 16S ribosomal RNA". It matches the Rfam family "Bacterial small subunit ribosomal RNA", at positions 93 to 351 of the family's 1533-position model. The record is from RNAcentral. Lineage: Bacteria; Pseudomonadati; Myxococcota; Haliangiales; Kofleriaceae.
UAGUGGCGGACGGGUGAGUAACGCGUGAGAAUCUACCUUCAGGUUGGGGAUAACAGACGGAAACGACUGCUAAUACCCAAUAUACCGAGAGGAGAAAGGCUAGCUGCCUGAAGAUGAGCUCGCGUCCGAUUAGCUAGUUGGUGAGGUAAGGGCUUACCAAGGCGAUGAUCGGUAGCUGGUCUGAGAGGAUGAUCAGCCACACUGGGACUGAGACACGGCCCAGACUCCUACGGGAGGCAG